This is a non-coding RNA of Pantherophis guttatus, 537 nucleotides long. NCBI's taxonomy places the organism in Eukaryota, Metazoa, Chordata, Lepidosauria, Squamata, Colubridae. The record is from RefSeq and is a predicted model, not a curated record.
CGGCCCUGGACGGAAAGGUCCUUCAAUCAGAGUAUUCUGCUCAGCCACACAUUAUCUGUUUCUCUCAGAUAAAUAAUAUAACACUGCAAUAAAUCACCUAGGAGUGCAUUCCUCUCGCAUAAUUCAAAGGAAUCCAUUUGCAAUAAAUCUUCCCCUUUGUCUUAUCAGAACAAGGUUUGUGUUACCUUGCUUCCCUCUUUUCUCUUGAUGAUAAAGAAUACCGUUCUUUUAAUGAUAUUCCCUAAACUGUGCUAGAGGAUAGCCUUUAAAUACUGUGCACCCUGAAGGCCAGUGGGGAAAAAAAAGAAUCAGAAAUAUAAUACGGAAGGAAGCAAGAUGCAUCUGCGUUAUUUACAGAGUAUGAAUCAGAAUCCACGUUGAAGGCAAUAACCAGAUUUUCCAAGAAAAGACGCACAAGCCUGAAGUUGAAUCUGCCAAUACUCCAGGACCCAUCAAUCAAGAUAACGAUGUCUGCGAAGGCUGGAAUUUUGCACUUAAAUUGGUUUUCUGUUUAGAAUAAAAUAACAAGGAAGAUGA